GGCAAACCAUUAGGUCCCUGUGCGCUCCCUGUCACGGGGAAAGUGACAGCACCCUGUGGUUUCCUUUCCAUCGACUCACACUCAUAUGACCUUACUCAGGCAGCCGGCGGAAAAAAAAAUCUGGGUUUCUAAAACCCUCAGCUCGUUUGCUGGGAGAAAGGCACUUCAAGGAAACAAAUUCCAAUUUACGAAGAACCCAAGGACAGGAGCAAAUAUAAAAGCAAUAAAAGAUAUCCAGGAGAUAGGUCCUAUCUGCAGUCAUCACACUGCAAAGCAUGCAUCAUGUUUUUGUCCUUGAGACAUUUUCUUCUCUCCAGCCUCCUUCUAAUACUUCCCUAUCAUAUGAAAAAUGUGAUUAAACUGUUCCGUGGGUGAAAAACUACAAUGAUUUUUUUCUCCCAGAGCCAUUAUUUUGAAGCUGCAGAUGUAGCUGGCCUGUUAUCUACACAUGGAUUAACCCCUUUUGUCCCAGUAUUUUUAUUAUAUUACAUUUUUUGAGACCUGGGAAAAACAGCCUUAAUCAUGGCUUCAAAAUGCCGAGCAGUUCAAGCACAUUCACCUAAAAGUCAUAAUCUUCUGGUAUGAAUGAAAGAUGAAUUUUGAUUAAAUUAAAAUAAAAAGAUUGGGGAAACAAACGAGAGCCUUAGCAAAAGCCCCAAUUUACCAGUGUCCAGAGGAUGUGAAAGAAACAACAUGUAGGAAAAGUGCACAUGAAUUUCACUCACAAUAAAACAUGCAAUUACAAAAAUAAUAUUGUGUAUAUUGUGUGACUACACAGAAAUGUUCAUGAUACUGGAGGUACAGGUUUCGUGAUCAUUUUAACAUUGCUUUAAAACAGAGAUUUGGACACUGACAGCGAUUCUUUAACUGACUUUAUCGUUGGCCACACAAUAGCCACUGCAAUGGGAAACGACAGUAGAGAAACAUGUAAUUGCCGCUUGUAUUCACGCCCUUGCUCUUUUUUUCCCCAGCAACAGUAAACACUGACAAAACUGUCAGAGACAGAGACUCAAUGUCGGAAGGAAAAAUUGAAGGGAAGGAGACGUGGAUGAAGGGAAAAAUGGGAUUAGGACUUGCGUAAAAGGAUGAAGUGACGGAUGAGGAGGACGGGUAAAACAGAGGGGAAUCGGCAAGGGCGGAGGGGACACAGAAGUGGAAAGGAAGGAAUCAGGGACGGAAAGAGGCAGAGAAGAUGGUCUGACCAUCCAAUGCAGGGCUGUGUUUAGGGACACCUCUGGGACAUUACAGAUGGCUGGGCAACAGUUGAGCGAGGGAAAAGGGAAGUACUUCUCUUACAAAAUGGUGACACCAAAUUUUGGACGAUCUGCAAAAUAAUUGAAAUCCGACCAUACAGACACGAAACCGAGUGCCACUGUUUGUCUUUGGACUUCUAUGUGCUCUGAUUUUUAAACGCAAGCCUGAGCAAAAGUGUUGACUCACCACCACUUAGGGGGAAUUGAGGAAUUUGCCUAUCGUGUUCGGUAACGUUACAAAGUGGAUUAUUGAUGCUGCACCUGGGGGAGAAAAUCCUAUUUAAGCCACUAAGGGUUUAUAGAAUGCAGCGGCUGAGACAAUGGGGAGAGUCACAAUGUCGUCAAAGUCAAAUCUAGUAAGGUCAGUUUAAAAAGUGAAAGUCUUUAACAGCAAAUACCACCACACCAUUUAGUGAGGAGAGAUUCAUGUACCAACGGAUUUAUUUUCCAUUCUGUAUUUAUUUCUGUUCGUCCAUUUCCAACGGUAAAUGAGCCAUGCCUCACCUGGCCUCAGGUAAGAUGAGAGGAUCUGAAUAAAAAAAAAAAGCUUUCUUAACCUCCUAACGCUGUGUCCAGGAUCUGGUGACUGUAUGUUGUUAUCACCAGUAUGGUUGUUAAUUUAAUGCGGCAAACUCACCGCUCAUUUCUUGUCUUCUGUCAUGCUACUCAAUUAUUUACCUGCUGAUUCCAUUUCUUCAUCAUUUCCUGUAGGAAAAAUGAUGUUCUCAUCUUUCACUUUUUCUUGGCUUUAAAUGUAUCCUAUAAUGAGCAUGAGCCUUAAAACCAACAGUUACCUUUGACCAACCAAUGCUGUUGCCAAAGGUAAUACUUAAAAUCCGACAAUGAUGAAGCAGUCUGAUAUUUGUAACAUAUCCUUAUUGCACACAAGCCUCAGGUUUGGCUUAGUUGAAAUAUUUUGAAACUGUC
Gasterosteus aculeatus aculeatus (three-spined stickleback) is the source of this 2180-nucleotide long non-coding RNA. The record is from Ensembl. Lineage: Eukaryota; Metazoa; Chordata; Actinopteri; Perciformes; Gasterosteidae.